GAUGAACGCUGACAGAAUGCUUAACACAUGCAAGUCGAUGGGGAAGUGGUGCUUGCACCGUGGCAACCAUGGCGGACGGGUGAGUAACGCGUAAGGGACUUACCUGCAGGACUGGGAUAACAGGGGGAAACUCCUGACAAGACCGGAUAAUGUCAUGGAGCUGCAUGGCUUUAUGAUGAAAGGAGACGCCUGCGGAGAGCCUUGCGUCCUAUUAGCUAGUUGGUGAGGUAAUGGCUCACCAAGGCGAAGAUAGGUAGCCGGCCUGAGAGGGUGGACGGCCACAAGGGGACUGAGAUACGGCCCUUACUCCUACGGGAGGCAGCAGUGGGGAAUAUUGGACAAUGGGGGCAACCCUGAUCCAGCAAUUCUGUGUGCACGAAGAAGGUUUUCGGAGUGUAAAGUGCUUUCAGCAGGGAAGAAGUAAGUGACGGUACCUGCAGAAGAAGCGACGGCUAAAUACGUG
This 463-nucleotide ribosomal RNA is filed under the name uncultured bacterium. Its description in RNAcentral is "partial 16S ribosomal RNA". It matches the Rfam family "Bacterial small subunit ribosomal RNA", at positions 28 to 507 of the family's 1533-position model. The record is from RNAcentral.